GGAUAUUAAUUGGAUAUUAAUUAGGAAGCAAUUUUAAUUAGGGCCAAAAUUAUUUUUUUUUUAAUAGAGUGAUUAAAAAAAAGAUUUUAGUUAUUAUUCUUUUCCCUGAUUGCGAGGUGAGUAGUCCAUCACCAUGACGAGAAUCAGUCGGCACAAUGAGUUAGUCUGUUGUCAGAGUUUAUAUAUAUAGAGAGAGAGAGAGAGAGAGAUUGAGCUAGAAUACUCUCAAAAGCACCAAAUGGGGUGGUGCUUUUGAGUUUUUAGCCAUUAGAUGGAGAGAUGUAGGAUUGAGAUGUAGGAUUGAGAUGGUGGUGAUAGAUGGUGGUAGCUAGGUGGAAUAGUGUUAGAUCCAAAGGCUAUUAGUAAGCCACUUCGUCCCUACUCGAACCGUGAUUGACAAACUCAAAAGCAUAACCCUAUUGGUGCUUUUGAGAGUAUUCUAGCUCAACUCUAUAUAUAUAUAUAUAUAUAUAUAGAGAGAGAGAGAGAGAGAGAGAGAGAGAGAGAGAGAGAGAGAGAGAGAGAGUUGGACUAGAAUACUAUUAAUAGUAUUUUUUUUUUUUUGCUAUCAAGUUUUUAGCCUUUGUGUCGGAUUGUUGGUGCUAACCAUUAAUCUCAAAAACUCGAGCUGUUAAAAAUACACAACCAAUUCACUUAAAGCAUACGAACUAGUAACCCAAGCAAUGCGACGAAUAGAUAAUUGAAGAAAACAUAUAAAAUAUCGACAAAAAAAAAGAAAACAGCAAUUAAAAAUGGUGAUGAUAAGGGGUGGGAUUUAACUUGUCGCUCACUCCGUUAAUAUUUCGUUAAAUUAUAUACAAAAAACUUCAGAUACUCCACCUAGGUUUAUCGAAUAUUUACUUUAGUACUCUUUAGUUUUAACUUUAUCACUGAUUUAAUGAAAAAAAAAUUAGUGGAAUCGAUAAUAAAAAAAUAAAAAUGAAACCACCGGACACUAAAUUGAUACAAUUUAAAUCACAAGGUAAUAAAGUGAGAAAGUAUGAAACCACAGAGAUGGUAUUUGAAGUUUUUUUUUUAUAUAUAAUUUGAAUAUAUUGUAUUUUCUAAAAGAAAAAAAUAAAAAUACACUGUACUUUUAUUCGAAUUUUAGAAAAGACUCAACCUAAACAAAUUUGUUGGUCAAUACUAGUUAGAGUGCACAUGAGAAAAUCUCCAGUGAUAUAAUAUAUCUGCAGUUUUAUUAGAAUUUAGUUAUUAUUCUUUUUCCUGAUUGAGGCGAGGUGAGUAGUCCAUCACCAUGACGAGAAUCAGUCGGCACAAUGAGUUAGUCUGUUGUGAGAGUUUAUAUAUUUAUAUAUAUAUAUAUAGAGAGAGAGAGAGAGAGAGAGAGCUAGAAUACUUUCAAAAGUACCAAGGGAGUGGUGUUUUUGUGUUUUUAGCCAUUAAAUGGAAAGAUGUAGGAUUAAGAUGAUGGUGGUAGGUGGUGGUAGCUAGGUGGAAUAGUGUUAGAUCCAAAGACUAUUAGUAAUCAAGGACUAGAUCCAAUGGCUAAAACUCAAAAGCAUCACCCUAUUGGUGCUUUUGAGAGUAUUCUAGCUCAACUCUAUAUAUAUAUAUAUAUAUAUAUAUAUAUAGAGAGAGAGAGAGAGAGAGAGAGAGAGAGAGAGAUAGUUGGGCUAGAAUACUAUUAAUAGUAUUUGUUUUUUUUUUUUACUAUCAAGUUUUUAGCCUUUGUGUCGGAUUGUUGGUGCUAACCAUUAAUCUCAAAAGCUCGAGCUGUUAAAAAUACAUAACCAAUUCACUUAAAGCAUACGGAUAAAUCCCACCCCUUGUAAUAUACUAGCGUAGUAACCCAAUCAAUGCGACGAAUAGAUAAUUGAAGAAAAUAUAUAAAAUAUCGAUAAAAAAAAGAAAACAACAAUAAAAAAUUGUGAUGAUAAGGGGUGGGAUUUUUCUUGUCGUUCACUCUGUUAAUAUUUCGUUAAAUUAUAUACAAAAAACUUCAGAUAUUCCACCUAGAUUUAUCGAAUAUUUACUUUAGUACUCUUUAGUUUUAACUUUAUCACUGAUUUAAUGAAAAAAAAAAUUUAGUGGAAUCGAUAAUAAAAAGAUAAAAAUGAAACCACCGGACACUAAAUUGAUACACUUUAAAUCACAAGGUAAUAAAGUGAGAAAGUAUGAAACCACAAAGAUGGUAUUUGAAGUUUUUUUAUAUAUAUAAUUUGAAUACAUUGUAUUUUCUAAAACAAAAAAAUAAAAAUACACUGUACUUUUAUUCGAAUUUUAGAAAAGACUCAACCUAAACAAAUUU
Molecule: long non-coding RNA, 2272 nt
Filed under: Ananas comosus (pineapple)
Lineage: Eukaryota; Viridiplantae; Streptophyta; Magnoliopsida; Poales; Bromeliaceae
Description: long non-coding RNA (ACOM_LNC019546)
Source: RNAcentral